AUGAGAAGGCAUGGACAUCAAUCCAACACACCUGCAACAGCCGUCGCCAUCUUUGGCUUUGAGUACCGCGAAAAGUGUCCCUUCCGAAAGAAAGAGAACUCGAGUCAUCCGACCGGUCCAGCACCGCGGCCGGGCCAUCCACCCGGACAAAACAGGAUCUCCCACCAGCAUCGACGCAGAGGAAGGAGAAGAACAGCAACAGCAAAUCAUACCGGCAAGAAAGAAGAAGGGUCUUCGUCUCCGUGCAUCCAUCGCCCAUAUGAGGACCCAAACGGCCAGUGCCAAUGGACCUCCAUCCACCAUAGCCCUUGA
Molecule: ribosomal RNA, 312 nt
Filed under: Triticum aestivum (bread wheat)
Lineage: Eukaryota; Viridiplantae; Streptophyta; Magnoliopsida; Poales; Poaceae
Description: partial small subunit ribosomal RNA
Source: RNAcentral